This 301-nucleotide ribosomal RNA is filed under the name uncultured bacterium. RNAcentral's name for it is "partial 16S ribosomal RNA". It matches the Rfam family "Bacterial small subunit ribosomal RNA", at positions 509 to 807 of the family's 1533-position model. The record is from RNAcentral.
CAGUAGCCACGGUAAUGCGGAGGGUGCAAGCGUUAAUCGGAAUUACUGGGCGUAAAGCGCACGCAGGCGGUCUGUCAAGUCAGAUGUGAAAUCCCCGGGCUUAACCUGGGAACUGCAUUUGUGACUGGCAAGCUAGAGUCUGGCAGAGGGGGGUGGAAUUCCGCGUGUAGCAGUGAAACGCGUAGAUAUGCGGAGGAACACCGAUGGCGAAGGCAGCCCCCUGGGCCAACACUGACGCUCAUGCACGAAAGCGUGGGGAGCAAACAGGAUUAGAUACCCCAGUAGUCCCUGUCUCUUAUAC